Molecule: unclassified non-coding RNA, 225 nt
Filed under: Hevea brasiliensis (rubber tree)
Lineage: Eukaryota; Viridiplantae; Streptophyta; Magnoliopsida; Malpighiales; Euphorbiaceae
Source: RNAcentral
GUCGGCGUCAUAUCACAUUCGUUGGGAUGUAGGUUAUGUACACAGGAGUUGGGCCGCCAGGAGUCAGGAGUCAGGCCCCCGCACUCGGGGAGGGCUAGGUUGGCGUGGGACAGGCGUUGCGUAGUUCGAGCAUGGCGCUUAGAUCUUGACGCCCUUCUCGUCGGCGAGCUUCUCGUAGCGCUUCUCGUAGAUGCCCUCGGGGUCGAACUUGGCCUUGAGCUCCUG